Molecule: non-coding RNA, 26 nt
Filed under: Homo sapiens (human)
Lineage: Eukaryota; Metazoa; Chordata; Mammalia; Primates; Hominidae
Source: RNAcentral
UGCAAUCACCGUUCACUAGACUCGAC